Molecule: ribosomal RNA, 888 nt
Filed under: uncultured bacterium
Lineage: Bacteria
Description: bacterial SSU rRNA
Rfam family: Bacterial small subunit ribosomal RNA
Source: RNAcentral
CGGCAGGCCUAACACAUGCAAGUCGAACGGUAGCACAGAGGAGCUUGCUCCUUGGCCGACCCGUGGUUGAUCAUUUAGUAAUGUAAGGGGAUCUGCCUGAUGGAGGGGGAUAACUACUGGAAACGGUAGCUAAUACCGCAUAACGUCGCAAGACCAAAGAGGGGGACCUUCGGGCCUCUUGCCAUCAGAUGAACCCAGAUGGGAUUAGCUAGUAGGUGGGGUAACGGCUCACCUAGGCGACGAUCCCUAGCUGGUCUGAGAGGAUGACCAGCCACACUGGAACUGAGACACGGUCCAGACUCCUACGGGAGGCAGCAGUGGGGAAUAUUGCACAAUGGGCGCAAGCCUGAUGCAGCCAUGCCGCGUGUAUGAAGAAGGCCUUCGGGUUGUAAAGUACUUUCAGCGGGGAGGAAGGGGAAGUGGUUAAUAACCGCUUUCAUUGACGUUACCCGCAGAAGAAGCACCGGCUAACUCCGUGCCAGCAGCCGCGGUAAUACGGAGGGUGCAAGCGUUAAUCGGAAUUACUGGGCGUAAAGCGCACGCAGGCGGUCUGUCAAGUCGGAUGUGAAAUCCCCGGGCUCAACCUGGGAACUGCAUCCGAAACUGGCAGGCUUGAGUCUUGUAGAGGGGGGUAGAAUUCCAGGUGUAGCGGUGAAAUGCGUAGAGAUCUGGAGGAAUACCGGUGGCGAAGGCGGCCCCCUGGACAAAGACUGACGCUCAGGUGCGAAAGCGUGGGGAGCAAACAGGGAUAGAUACCCUGGUAGUCCACGCCGUAAACGAUGUCGACUUGGAGGUUGUUCCCUUGAGGAGUGGCUUCCGGAGCUAACGCGUUAAGUCGACCGCCUGGGGAGUACGGCCGCAAGGUUAAAACUCAAAUGAAUUGACGGG